Molecule: long non-coding RNA, 339 nt
Filed under: Medicago truncatula (barrel medic)
Lineage: Eukaryota; Viridiplantae; Streptophyta; Magnoliopsida; Fabales; Fabaceae
Description: long non-coding RNA (MTRU_LNC007582)
Source: RNAcentral
UGUUGAAGAAUUGUUUAUGGCUGGAAUUUUCUAGUUGGUUUCCAGUGUAUUUGAGCGUGUUUUUUUUGUUUUUUGGCUCUUGUUGUUGUUUUUUCCUGGUUUGUGUGUUGUAUUUAUAGAACUGGAUUGGAGACAUGGAACCUGUUAAAGGACAGACAGUAACUGCCUUGGCUUGGGAUUAAGGGGACAUGAAUGGGCUGGCGACAGCUGUGUGGAUUGGAACAAAAAAAUAUGAUAUUUUUGGACAUAAAAAAUAAAUAAUAAUAAAAAAGAAAAAAUAGAAAGACUAAAAAUAAAAACUAAAUGAGUUAAUUAAAUUAAAAGGAAUUUAAAUAAAAG